GGCUCAGAUUGAACGCUGGCGGCAUGCCUUACACAUGCAAGUCGAACGGUAACAGGGAGCUUGCUCCGCUGACGAGUGGCGAACGGGUGAGUAAUAUAUCGGAACGUGCCCUAGAGUGGGGGAUAACUAGUCGAAAGAUUAGCUAAUACCGCAUACGAUCUAAGGAUGAAAGUGGGGGAUCGCAAGACCUCAUGCUCGUGGAGCGGCCGAUAUCUGAUUAGCUAGUUGGUAGGGUAAAAGCCUACCAAGGCAUCGAUCAGUAGCUGGUCUGAGAGGACGACCAGCCACACUGGGACUGAGACACGGCCCAGACUCCUACGGGAGGCAGCAGUGGGGAAUUUUGGACAAUGGGCGCAAGCCUGAUCCAGCAAUGCCGCGUGAGUGAAGAAGGCCUUCGGGUUGUAAAGCUCUUUUGUCAGGGAAGAAACGGGUUGAGCUAAUAUCUUGGCCUAAUGACGGUACCUGAAGAAUAAGCACCGGCUAACUACGUG
RNAcentral lists this ribosomal RNA (491 nucleotides) under uncultured bacterium. RNAcentral's name for it is "bacterial SSU rRNA". It matches the Rfam family "Bacterial small subunit ribosomal RNA", at positions 21 to 507 of the family's 1533-position model. The record is from RNAcentral.